AGGGAUCAUUACCAAUGGAAAGGGCUCCCGGCCCGACCUCCAACCCUUUGUGAUUACCACUUUGUUGCCUCGGAGGCGACCCGGCCUCCGUGCCGGGGCCUCCGGUGGACCACUUUUCAACUCGCAUCUUUGCGUCAGUUGCAUUGAUAAAUUCAAUCAAAACUUUCAACAACGGAUCUCUUGGUUCUCGCAUCGAUGAAGAACGCAGCGAAAUGCGAUAAGUAAUGUGAAUUGCAGAAUUCAGUGAAUCAUCGAGUUUUUGAACGCACACUGCGCCCCUUGGUAUUCCGGGGGGCAUGCCCGUUCGAGCGUCAUGUCAACAAUCCAGCCUCGCUGGGUGUUGGGUCACGGGGGCGACCUGGACCCUAAUAUCUCCGGCUACACAGUCCUGAUCUNAGCGUCGUGGCACACCAAUUCGCUACCGAGACGGACGGUUUACGCCGUUAAAUCUACAUACAAGUUUGACCUCGGAUCGGGUAGGGAUACCCGCUGAACUUAAGCAUAUCAAUAAGCGGAGGAGAAGAAACCAACAGGGAUCGCCCUAGUAACGGCGAGUGAAGCGGCGAAAGCUCAAAUUUGAAAGCUGGCCUCGGCCCGCAUUGUAAUUUGUAGAGGAUGCUUCUGGGCAGCGGCCGGUCUAAGUUUCUUGGAACAGGACGUCAUAGAGGGUGAGAAUCCCGUAUGCGACCGGCUGGCACCCUCCACGUAGCUCCUUCGACGAGUCGAGUUGUUUGGGAAUGCAGCUCUAAAUGGGAGGUAAAUUUCUUCUAAAGCUAAAUACCGGCGAGAGACCGAUAGCGCACAAGUAGAGUGAUCGAAAGAUGAAAAGCACUUUGGAAAGAGAGUUAAAAAGCACGUGAAAUUGUUGAAAGGGAAGCGCUUGCCCCCAGACUUGUCGGCGGUGUUCCGCCGGGCUUCUGCCCGGUUCACUCGCCGCCGUCAGGCCCGCACCGUCUGGGACCGCGGGAGAAAGGCGUUGGGAAUGUAGCUCCUCGGAGUGUUAUAGCCCAUCGCGCAAUACCGCGCGCCCCGGGCGAGGUCCGCGC
Molecule: ribosomal RNA, 1046 nt
Filed under: uncultured fungus
Lineage: Eukaryota; Fungi
Description: eukaryotic LSU rRNA
Rfam family: Eukaryotic large subunit ribosomal RNA (bases 463-1046)
Source: RNAcentral